Molecule: ribosomal RNA, 440 nt
Filed under: uncultured bacterium
Lineage: Bacteria
Description: partial 16S ribosomal RNA
Rfam family: Bacterial small subunit ribosomal RNA
Source: RNAcentral
CCUACGGGUGGCUGCAGUAGGGAAUAUUGCUCAAUGGGGGAAACUCUGAAGCAGCAACGCCGCGUGGAGGAUGAAGGUUUUCGGAUUGUAAACCCCUUUUGUUAGAGAAGAUAAUGACGGUAACUAACGAAUUAGCACCGGCUAACUCCGUGCCAGCAGCCGCGGUAAUACGGAGGGUGCAAGCGUUACUCGGAAUCACUGGGCCGAAAGAGUGCGCAGGUGGGAUAGCAAGUCAGCUGUGAAAUCCUAUGGCUUAACCAUAGAACUGCAUUUGAUACUGGUACCCUAGUGUAUUAGAGAGGUAGGUGGAAUUCGUGGUGUAGUGGUGAAAUGCGGAGAGAUCAGGAGGAAUACUCAUGGCGAAGGCGGCCUGCUAGAUCGUAACUGACGCUGAUGCGCGAAAGCGUGGGGAGCAAACAGGAUUAGAUACCCUUGUAGUC